This 990-nucleotide ribosomal RNA is filed under the name Triticum aestivum (bread wheat). RNAcentral describes it as "partial small subunit ribosomal RNA". Lineage: Eukaryota; Viridiplantae; Streptophyta; Magnoliopsida; Poales; Poaceae. The record is from RNAcentral.
AUGAACAUGUGUGAGAAAGAUCAAAAUUUCCACUGGGCGUACGACCUUUUCCAUGACCCUUUUGCCGCUCCCAACAGCUACUAUGGACAUCCUAAUGGUUACAGUGACAACAGCUAUUGUGACUACAAUUAUGCUAGAGGUAGUUUUGUGGAACGUCGUGCGAUUCUUUUGUGCAAAACUCAUGAAAAAAAGAAGGCAGUAUUCCUCAUGUGUAUGUUUUUUUGUUAUGCAGAUGCAUCACAUCCCGAUGAGACAUAUUUGCAUUCUUCUGCACUUACGUGCGAUAUGUACAACCCACAAGUAGGCAUGUACCAUCCUGGAAAUGUUGGCGGGCAGGAGCAUGACGCAGUCUAUGUAGAUCCGUCUAGUUCCUCUUCAUACCCUGGCAGUGACGAUUGUUUUGAAAUGGAGGAAGAAGUAGGGAAGAGAUUUUACCCCAUGGUCCCAGUUCCCCAUGUCCCUAAAAUUAAUGGUGAAAUUCCAUCACUUGACGAAGCCAGCAUGGACCAUGAAAGGCUGUCAGACAGGUUGAGGUUGUAUGAACUAACUGAGAACAAGGUGAAAGGUGAUGGCAAUUGUCAGUUCCGUGCACUAUCAGAUCAGCUGUACCAAACUCCGGACCACCAUGAGUUUGUGAGGGAGCAGAUAAUUAGCCAGCUUAAGAGUAACCGGGAAGCCUAUGAUGGAUACGUCCCCAUGGCAUAUGAUGAGUAUCUGGAGAAAGUAUCACGAAAUGGUGAAUGGGGUGACCAUGUGACUUUACAGGCUGCUGCUGACAAGUACGGAGUGAAGAUUUUCGUCAUGACCUCGUUCAAGGAUACGUGCUACAUCGAGAUCCAACCCAAGGUUCAGAAGUCCAACAAAGUGGUGCUGUUGAGCUUUUGGGCAGAGGUUCACUACAACUCGAUAUUUCCACAGAACGACGCUCCGAGGUUGCAGCACACGGCGAAGAAGAGGAGAUGGUGGCCGUUCUCGCAGCACCACCAUUGA